UAUGACGAAUCAGAAGUGAAUGAUUUUUGUUUCCUCAUUUCUUCUCUGUUAAUUCAUGAUUGAACAAACAAGACAUAUAUAAACCAUAUAAAAGAGCCAUGAUGUCUGAGGUGCUGAGUACAGUGGAACUCUGAUUUCUCACUGCUAAUUUCCUGCAUCAUAUCGGGGCAGACGGGUUGCCUUCCACAUUAACAAUGUUCCAGUGCUGUUGUUGUAGAGACAACAGUCUUAUUUACAAAGCAGAGGUGUUCACUGGAGAAAUGCUGUACGCCGGCACAAUGAACAGUAUCUAUAUACAACUCCGUGGCACAAUGGAUUCAAGCCAUCGCAUCUGCCUCCCAAAAAGUAGAUUCAUUGGGGGCCACCCCCGAGGGGCUGUGAGUAACCCAUUGCUACAACUUUCCUUCCUUUGACCAUCUGUCCAUUUGGGUGACAAAAUCUAAAUCCAUUCACAUUAUUUUCAUUCUUAUGACUAGCAUACACUAAGCUAACAUGUGGAAUUGUUUAAGGACCCCUUAAGGUAUCCCCAAAAAUAUUUGAUGAAACAUUGAGUUUGGCCUUACUGCUCUUAGCCCAUAGAAAACAUCAUACAUGGAUGAACAGAUUAUCUAAAGAAAGUUUGUUCUGAAGUGUCUGUCCUAUAUCUGAGAGAUAUAAGAAAGAUCAGGAAACUAUUUAUAUAUAUGGUUUUUACAUGUAUUUAACCCCUUAUUUUAGGUACUAAACUAUCUUCAUAUAUACUUACAUUCAUUUUUUGUAACUGGUUCCACACUACCUUUAAACUAGUCUUGUGACGCUUGCAGGCUUCCUAGAGCAAAACACAUGUUUGUGAUAGUCUCAUCUUUCCAUAGAGGGGUCAUAAUAGUUUGCAGGCCAAACCCUUCGGAAGCUACAGACGUUUUUGUGAGAAGACCGAUUUUUGGGAUGUCUCAUGGUCUGACAAACACAGCUCUAGCUCUGCCAUCUUUCACCCUAGAUGCUGAAGGGUGACAUCGGCGGAUGUGAUGAAUUUAGACGCAGUCCAUGUAAAAAAUUCUCUCUAGCUUAAACUGAUGGAUUUUGAUGGGGAUUUUUGUUUAUGCUAAUUCGAUUUCCGCAGGGGCGCAGACAUAGACAUGAGGAGGGUUUAAACUGGUUGGAACAAGGGGAGAGAGUACAUCCCAAAAACUGUCAGCCAAGUUCUCCAAAAAGUUGUAUUAUGUGCAACCAGAGAUUCUGGGUUCGAGCCCAGGCUUAGCCGCAGCCGG
Molecule: non-coding RNA, 1247 nt
Organism: Salmo salar (Atlantic salmon)
Lineage: Eukaryota; Metazoa; Chordata; Actinopteri; Salmoniformes; Salmonidae
Source: RefSeq, a predicted model, not a curated record